CUCAGUUUCUGUGGGAAGAAAUCCACGUAUGUAAGAGUCAACUAGAGACUGACUUCAGCUCAAACAAGUUCUGCCUUCAGAGGAUGGAACUGCCAGUACAAUAUAUGUAUGCACCCAGAAAUCUCAAAAUCAGCGAAAGGGGAGGCUCCACCUUGCAGAGGCAAUGGCUCGGAUCCAACAGCAUCACUGUACCUGCUUGUAUCAUCCAGCAUGAGUGAUCUGGUCACCUCAGCAGCAGUGCUCACAAGAGUACCGCACAUGAAACGCUUCUCUGAGUUCUUGGUCUAGGCCAUAGUCCAAAAUACCUUCCAGCAGCCACUGAGUCUCUCUCUUCAUCCCAGUCCCUAACUAGUAAGUUCCUGCAAGUGGUUUUGUUUGCUUGCUGUUCUGCCUUUGAGAUGUCUCCCUUGCUCUCCAAGACAUGGCCCGAGAGAACAGGCUGAAAGAAAUGUGGUGUGGGGGUGGGAGAAGGCUCCAGAGCAUAGAGGGGAAAAACUGUCAGGCCGGCAAAAUGGGGUUACGGGGAGAGGAAAAGAUGAGUUAGCCACUGCGGACAGAGGAGGCUCAGAUAGACAUUUCAGUUUUGGCUGCUUGGACAAGCAGAAAUUUGAUAGCUUUCUGCUCCUUAUGUUAGCAUUUUUGAAGUCUUCUCUCUGACAGUAAGUGUUUAAAUCAGCAGUGUAAUAAGUGUUUUUUGAUCUGCAUGUUACCAUCCUUGUCUUUCUGGGAGACACUGUCCUGCAUUGACUCCAGCAGGAGAGUGGAACUGUGGGAUCUAAAAAUACCAAGUGCUUUGUUCCCUGUGGUUUCUGAAGAGAUUUUACUUUGCCUAAAACCAGGUACCAGGUCUCACAGUAGGCUAGGGAAAGGACUGGGGAGAGAAAAGAAGACAGCACAUGCAUUUUAACUACAGGCAGGGGAAACAAGUGUUGGCAGAGCUGAGUAUUCAGAAGUAGCGGGGCUGCUCAGGCGAAGUCGGUGUGUUUUCCUUCUUUUUCAAAAGGGAAAGGAGGACUUUUUGUUUUGUUUGUGUGUUUACUCAGCAGGGACUGCAUUGCAGGGACUGGGGGGAGAGGCUGCCUUAAGAUAGUACAUGAAAACAAACAUGAAGCGUGUGCUCUGGGGUUUGUUCUGUCUCCUCACUAGAGAAAAUACGUGCCCGGCUCAGGUUCUCUAGACCGCGCAUCCAAAUAAUUUCAGCAAGCUGAAAGCAGCCUUGAGGGGCGUCAAGUGGGGAGGAGGGCCUGUCACAGGGAGACUAGCACUUAUCAGUUUGGAUACCAAGCAUCCUGAGACCUGCUGACUCAAAGGGAGACACUGAAGUAAAUGAAGAUCUCCUGUCUGUUCAGUUCCCCUCUUGUCCGUUUAACUCUUCAAACCCAUAGCUCUUCCUUUCCAUGCUUACUUUGGGAGUAAAUCAGCAAAUUGUUCUUUAAAACUUCACUCUUAUUGCCCUGAUUAUUUCACCUAGGGUCCCCAGCCCCUAUUUCUGCUUAGAAUAUGACCAGUGAAACUCCAUGGUACAGCAAGCCAGC
Molecule: long non-coding RNA, 1535 nt
Organism: Oxyura jamaicensis (ruddy duck)
Lineage: Eukaryota; Metazoa; Chordata; Aves; Anseriformes; Anatidae
Exons: 3
Source: RefSeq, a predicted model, not a curated record